UGAGGAAUAUUGGUCAAUGGGCGAGAGCCUGAACCAGCCAAGUAGCGUGCAGGAUGACGGCCCUAUGGGUUGUAAACUGCUUUUAUAUGGGAAUAAAGUGAGGGACGUGUCCCUUAUUGCAUGUACCAUACGAAUAAGGACCGGCUAAUUCCGUGCCAGCAGCCGCGGUAAUACGGAAGGUCCAGGCGUUAUCCGGAUUUAUUGGGUUUAAAGGGAGCGUAGGCUGUUUGUUAAGCGUGUUGUGAAAUGUAAGAGCUCAACUUUUAGAUUGCAGCGCAAACUGGCAGACUUGAGUGCGCACAACGUAGGCGGAAUUCAUGGUGUAGCGGUGAAAUGCUUAGAUAUCAUGACGAACUCCGAUUGCGAAGGCAGCUUACGGGAGCGCAACUGACGCUAAAGCUCGAAGGUGCGGGUAUCGAACAGG
RNAcentral lists this ribosomal RNA (424 nucleotides) under bacterium. RNAcentral describes it as "partial 16S ribosomal RNA". It matches the Rfam family "Bacterial small subunit ribosomal RNA", at positions 355 to 776 of the family's 1533-position model. The record is from RNAcentral.